CAGCUUGUCAUCAAGUGUGAUGCAGUCACAAUGCUGCUGUAUGAUGUAAUGGUUUUCAUUUUUUCCUUUUUAUUCAAAAAACUUACUAGAGUAAAAUCUCUCACGUUCCAGUGUUCAAAUAUGCAGCAACAGAAUUGCCAAGCCUGGAGCGGCGUAUCUGGAGCAGUCAGAGAGAGGAUGAACAUACACUCGACUGAUCCCGCACAGAUCAGACCAGAGAGAUCGCGCCUGACUGUGUGAGGUUCCAGAUGGGGUUUCCAUGGUUACCCGCGGAUGCAUUAUGGAAUGUAAAGCUCAAAGACUUUCUCUAAAGAACACUAAUGACUCAGAAAACUGCAAUGAAAGAGGUUUUCCGUUUAUCACCCAUUCUGUGGGGAAAAUGCGUCAUCGCCACAAAAGGAGGAAAGGAUCGGCGCGGAAGACCUUCCUCGAAGAUGAAGAAACGCUAACUGCCUUUCGAAACAUGGAUUCAGUUCACAGAGGUUUUGCAGUGUUUGACUUAUGAGUCCGCCGUUGUCAUCUGUUAUCUUUGUUAAUUCAUUCUAGUACAAACUGUGUCGUGGAGCUCCGCAUUGGGAACAAGAGAACUGAAAGAGAGAAGGGGACCAUGUGGAAAGAAAAAGAGCGAGAGGCAGUAUAUUUACACCAGUUAUAUGUAGUAUUUUAUCAUAACUCAUAUUAUCAUUAUUUUAAACAUCACUAUUGCUUUAAUCAGUAUUUUACCCUUAGAUUGAGACAGAAUUCUGAGCGUUUGAUGCAUU
Molecule: long non-coding RNA, 761 nt
Organism: Sinocyclocheilus rhinocerous
Lineage: Eukaryota; Metazoa; Chordata; Actinopteri; Cypriniformes; Cyprinidae
Exons: 3
Source: RefSeq, a predicted model, not a curated record